This 253-nucleotide ribosomal RNA is filed under the name uncultured bacterium. RNAcentral's name for it is "partial 16S ribosomal RNA". It matches the Rfam family "Bacterial small subunit ribosomal RNA", at positions 524 to 776 of the family's 1533-position model. The record is from RNAcentral.
UACAGAGGGUGCGAGCGUUAAUCGGAAUUACUGGGCGUAAAGCGCACGUAGGUGGCGACGUAAGUCGGGUGUGAAAGCCCCGGGCUCAACCUGGGAAUUGCAUUCGAGACUGCAUUGCUGGAGUACGGAAGAGGAGGGCGGAAUUCCCGGUGUAGCGGUGAAAUGCGUAGAUAUCGGGAGGAGCAUCAGUGGCGAAGGCGGCCCUCUGGUCCAGUACUGACACUCAAGUGCGAAAGCGUGGGGCGCAAGCAGG